RNAcentral lists this unclassified non-coding RNA (300 nucleotides) under uncultured Geastrum. RNAcentral describes it as "sequence contains 5.8S rRNA gene, ITS2". The stretch from base 1 to 71 matches the Rfam family "5.8S ribosomal RNA", at positions 84 to 154 of the family's 154-position model. Lineage: Eukaryota; Fungi; Basidiomycota; Agaricomycetes; Geastrales; Geastraceae. The record is from RNAcentral.
GUGAAUCAUCGAAUCUUUGAACGCAUCUUGCGCUCCUUGGUAUUCCGAGGAGCAUGCCUGUUUGAGUGUCGUGAAAUACUCUCAAUUUCAAUCUUUUUGUUUGAAAUUGGAUUUGAAUGUUGUUGUGAAUCAUUCAUGACUCGUUCUAAAUGCAUUAGCGAUCUGCCUUUGAUCACACAACAAUGUGAUAAGUAAAAGCAUUGUUAGAUUGAAGUGGAGAUGGCUUCUAACUGUCUUAAUGGACAAUAACGUUAUUUGACCUCAAAUCAGGUAGGACUACCCGCUGAACUUAAGCAUAUC